This 225-nucleotide long non-coding RNA is filed under the name Elaeis guineensis (African oil palm). RNAcentral's name for it is "long non-coding RNA (EGUI_LNC028531)". The record is from RNAcentral. Lineage: Eukaryota; Viridiplantae; Streptophyta; Magnoliopsida; Arecales; Arecaceae.
CCCUCUCCAUCCAUCCUUAAAAGGGGAGAACAAUGUCAAAAGCCUCAUAUAUGGAAUUGGAGAAGGAAGAGGAGAAGAAGAAGGGGUUAAGAGAAAGAGGACGGAGAAGAAAGGAGAACACUCAUGGGUGGGCUUAGAAGAGGAGGAUGAUGAGGAGAAGUGGGUGAGAAAAAAGAAGAGAAAGGAGAAAAAGGAGUUGCCGGCAAGAAAGGAUGGAGACAGAGG